Molecule: ribosomal RNA, 253 nt
Filed under: uncultured bacterium
Lineage: Bacteria
Description: partial 16S ribosomal RNA
Rfam family: Bacterial small subunit ribosomal RNA
Source: RNAcentral
GACGAAGGAUGCAAGCGUUAUCCGGAUUCAUUGGGUUUAAAGGGAGCGUAGGCGGCCUGGUAAGUCAGUGGUGAAAUCUCGCAGCUUAACUGCGAAACUGCCAUUGAUACUGCUAGGCUAGAGUACAGAUGCUGUGGGCGGAAUAUGACAUGUAGUGGUGAAAUACGUAGAGAUGUCAUAGAACACCGAUUGCGAAGGCAGCUCACAAAACUGUAACUGACGCUGAGGCUCGAAAGUGUGGGGAGCAAACAGG